UACGUAGGGGGCAAGCGUUGUCCGGAAUCAUUGGGCGUAAAGAGCGCGUAGGCGGCCCGGUAAGUCCGCUGUGAAAGUCCAGGGCUCAACCCUGGGAUGCCGGUGGAUACUGUCGGGCUCGAGUCCGGAAGAGGAGUGUGGAAUUCCUGGUGUAGCGGUGAAAUGCGUAGAUAUCUGGAGGAACACCGGUGGCGAAGGCGGCAUCCUGGACCGACACUGACGCUGAGGAGCGAAAGCCAGGGGAGCAAACGGG
This 253-nucleotide ribosomal RNA is filed under the name uncultured bacterium. Its description in RNAcentral is "partial 16S ribosomal RNA". It matches the Rfam family "Bacterial small subunit ribosomal RNA", at positions 524 to 776 of the family's 1533-position model. The record is from RNAcentral.